This 440-nucleotide ribosomal RNA is filed under the name uncultured Hyphomicrobium sp. RNAcentral's name for it is "bacterial SSU rRNA". It matches the Rfam family "Bacterial small subunit ribosomal RNA", at positions 338 to 795 of the family's 1533-position model. The record is from RNAcentral. Lineage: Bacteria; Pseudomonadati; Pseudomonadota; Alphaproteobacteria; Hyphomicrobiales; Hyphomicrobiaceae.
CCUACGGGUGGCUGCAGUGGGGAAUCUUGGACAAUGGGCGCAAGCCUGAUCCAGCCAUGCCGCGUGAGUGACGAAGGCCUUAGGGUUGUAAAGCUCUUUUGCCAGGGACGAUAAUGACGGUACCCGGAGAAUAAGUCCCGGCUAACUUCGUGCCAGCAGCCGCGGUAAUACGAAGGGGACUAGCGUUGUUCGGAAUUACUGGGCGUAAAGCGCACGUAGGCGGAUUUGUCAGUCAGGGGUGAAAUCCCGGAGCUCAACUUCGGAACUGCCUUUGAUACAGCAAGUCUCGAGUCCGAUAGAGGUGGGUGGAAUUCCUAGUGUAGAGGUGAAAUUCGUAGAUAUUAGGAAGAACACCGGUGGCGAAGGCGGCCCACUGGAUCGGUACUGACGCUGAGGUGCGAAAGCGUGGGGAGCAAACAGGCUUAGAUACCCUGGUAGUC